CCUACGGACGGCAGCAGUGGGGAAUAUUGCACAAUGGGGGAAACCCUGAUCCAGCGACGCCGCGUGAGCGAUGAAGUAUUUCGGUAUGUAAAGCUCUAUCAGCAGGGAAGAAGAUGACGGUACCUGACUAAGAAGCCCCGGCUAACUACGUGCCAGCAGCCUCGGUAAUAUGGAGGGGGCAAGCGUUAUCCGGAUUUACUGGGUGUAAUGGGAGCGUAGACGGGGGUGCAAGCCGGGUGUGGAAGCCCGGGGCUCAACCCCGGGACUGCAUUUGGAACUGUGUGGCUGGAGUGUCGGAGAGGCAGGCGGAAUUCCUAGUGUAGCGGUGAAAUGCGUAGAUAUUAGGAGGAACACCAGUGGCGAAGGCGGCCUGCUGGACGAUGACUGACGUUGAGGCUCGAAAGCGUGGGGAGCAAACAGGAUUAGAUACCCGGGUAGUC
Molecule: ribosomal RNA, 440 nt
Filed under: uncultured bacterium
Lineage: Bacteria
Description: partial 16S ribosomal RNA
Rfam family: Bacterial small subunit ribosomal RNA
Source: RNAcentral